CCUGCGCACUGCUCCGCCGUUCUUUCCGCCGCAAGGCGGGGAGGGAGGAAAGUCCGGGCAGCAAAGGGCACCGUGCUUCCUAACGGGAAGGAGCGCCGCUGGUGACGGCGGCGCUAUGGAAAGUGCCACAGAAAGGGAAACCGCCGACCCGUCGUAAGGCGGAGGUAAGGAUGAAAAGGUGGAGUAAGAGCCCACCAGUGUUCCGCGUGAGCGGGGCAGCUUGAUAAACCCCACGGGCUGAAAGACCAAAUAAGCUGGAACGCCUGCCGCAAGGCAGGCUAAGCGCGGCCCGCGUGAUCCAGCGGGUAGGUCGAUAGAGGCUGUGCGUGAGCACGGUCCCAGAUAGAUGGCGGAGGUCCGCCGCAAGGUGGAUACAGGAUCCGGCUUAUAGGUGCGCAGGUUUU
RNAcentral lists this RNase P RNA (404 nucleotides) under Flavobacteriales bacterium. Its description in RNAcentral is "RNase P RNA component class A". It matches the Rfam family "Bacterial RNase P class A". Rfam says of the family: Ribonuclease P (RNase P) is a ubiquitous endoribonuclease, found in archaea, bacteria and eukarya as well as chloroplasts and mitochondria. Its best characterised activity is the generation of mature 5'-ends of tRNAs by cleaving the 5'-leader elements of precursor-tRNAs. Lineage: Bacteria; Pseudomonadati; Bacteroidota; Flavobacteriia; Flavobacteriales. The record is from RNAcentral.